RNAcentral lists this ribosomal RNA (1843 nucleotides) under Diploptera punctata (Pacific beetle cockroach). RNAcentral describes it as "SSU rRNA". It matches the Rfam family "Eukaryotic small subunit ribosomal RNA". The record is from RNAcentral. Lineage: Eukaryota; Metazoa; Arthropoda; Insecta; Blattodea; Blaberidae.
UGCAUGUCUCAGUGCAAGCCGAAGUAAGGUGAAACCGCGAAUGGCUCAUUAAAUCAGUUAUGGUUCCUUAGAUGGUGCACAGUUACUUGGAUAACUGUGGUAAUUCUAGAGCUAAUACAUGCAACUCGGUCUCUACCGGAAAUGGUAGGGACGCUUUUAUUAGACCAAAACCAAUCGGGCGUUCUCGUCCGUUUUGCCUUGGUGACUCUGAAUAAAUUGUGUGCAGAUCGCACGGUCCUCGUACCGGCGACGCAUCUUUCAAAUGUCUGCCUUAUCAACUUUCGAUGGUAGGUCCUGCGCCUACCAUGGUUGUAACGGGUAACGGGGAAUCAGGGUUCGAUUCCGGAGAGGGAGCCUGAGAAACGGCUGCUACAUCCAAGGAAGGCAGCAGGCGCGCAAAUUACCCACUCCCGGCACGGGGAGGUAGUGACGACAAAUAACGAUACGGGACUCAUCCGAGGCCCCGUAAUCGGAAUGAACACACUUUAAAUCCUUUAAUGAGUAUCCAUUGGAGGGCAAGUCUGGUGCCAGCAGCCGCGGUAAUUCCAGCUCCAAUAGCGUAUAUUAAAGUUGUUGCGGUUAAAAAGCUCGUAGUCGGACUUGUGUCACACGCUGCCGGUUCACCGCCCGUCGGUGCUAACUGGCAUGCACGUGUUGACGUCCUGCUGGUGGCCGUAGCCGGUCCGGGUGUUCUGGGAUCCCUUCGGGGUUUCCCGGACCCCGGUGCUUGGUGAAGGCCUACUUGACCUACCCGUCGCGGUGCUCUUAACCGAGUGUCUCGAUGGGCCGGCACUUUUACUUUGAACAAAUUAGAGUGCUUAAAGCAGGCAGUGUCAGCCUGAAUACUGAGUGCAUGGAAUAAUGGAAUAGGACCUCGGUUCUAUUUUGUUGGUUUUCGGAAUGCCCGAGGUAAUGGUCAAUAGGGACAGACGGGGGCAUUCGUAUUGCGACGUUAGAGGUGAAAUUCUUGGAUCGUCGCAAGACGGACUAAAGCGAAAGCAUUUGCCAAGAAUGUUUUCUCUGAUCAAGAACGAAAGUUAGAGGUUCGAAGGCGAUCAGAUACCGCCCUAGUUCUAACCAUAAACGAUGCUAGCCAGCAAUCCGCCGAAGUUCCUCCGAUGACUCGGCGGGCGGCUUCCGGGAAACCAAAGCUUUUGGGUUCCGGGGGAAGUAUGGUUGCAAAGCUGAAACUUAAAGGAAUUGACGGAAGGGCACCACCAGGAGUGGAGCCUGCGGCUUAAUUUGACUCAACACGGGAAACCUCACCAGGCCCAGACACCGGGAGGAUUGACAGAUUGAGAGCUCUUUCUUGAUUCGGUGGGUGGUGGUGCAUGGCCGUUCUUAGUUGGUGGAGCGAUUUGUCUGGUUAAUUCCGAUAACGAACGAGACUCUAGCCUGCUAACUAGUCGCUCCCGGCAUCCUUUUGCGCUGCCGGCGACUUCUGAUCUUCUUAGAGGGACAGGCGGCUUCUAGCCGCACGAGAUUGAGCAAUAACAGGUCUGUGAUGCCCUUAGAUGUUCUGGGCCGCACGCGCGCUACACUGAAGGAAUCAGCGUGUCCUCCCAGGCCGAAAGGUCCGGGUAACCCGCUGAACCUCCUUCGUGCUAGGGAUUGGGGCUUGCAAUUGUUCCCCAUGAACGAGGAAUUCCCAGUAAGCGCGAGUCAUAAGCUCGCGUUGAUUACGUCCCUGCCCUUUGUACACACCGCCCGUCGCUACUACCGAUUGAAUGAUUUAGUGAGGUCUUCGGACCGGUGGGCGCGGGGGUUUUCCCUCUCGAUUCCACCGGGAAGAUGCCCAAACUUGAUCAUUUAGAGGAAGUAAAAGUCGUAACAAGGUUUCCGU